Molecule: ribosomal RNA, 314 nt
Filed under: Pseudococcus jackbeardsleyi (Jack Beardsley Mealybug)
Lineage: Eukaryota; Metazoa; Arthropoda; Insecta; Hemiptera; Pseudococcidae
Description: partial 28S ribosomal RNA
Source: RNAcentral
AAACCGUUCGGGGGUAAACGGACAGAGCCCGUGAAUCCGGGCGACGGAAUUCAGAAUCGGCGUCGUUCGCGCGUCGUCGGUUCGAUAUUUCCGUCGCCGACCAUUACACGGACGUCGCGACCCGUUCGGUGUCGGUCUGCAGGAGACGCGCGAAAGUUCGUGGACGUCUGUCGGCCUCGGUCGGCGGGCGUUUCGCGAGUGCGCGUUCUUUUCUGGCCGACUCGCCGGACGGUAUGCGAAGCGGUGAUCGCGGCGGCCUCUAGUCGGCGCCGUCGCGUUACCGGUCUGCGACGAAUCUUCGGGCCUCUUUCCGA